Molecule: long non-coding RNA, 243 nt
Organism: Rhodamnia argentea
Lineage: Eukaryota; Viridiplantae; Streptophyta; Magnoliopsida; Myrtales; Myrtaceae
Exons: 3
Source: RefSeq, a predicted model, not a curated record
AAAAUGACAGUGAAAUCUCUUUUUGAUUAUAUCAAUAUGGUAUGAUCAACUUAAAAAAAGUCUCACUAAAUCUCCAAAAAGAAUAAAAAGGCAAAAAAUAAAAAGAAAAUAGAAAGAAAUCGCUAGAGGAUUACAAGGCUGUAUGUAGUUUCUCAGCUGAGUUCUUCAAUUACGAGUUCUCCAACUGACCCAAUGAAUCCCACUAUGGUGAUCAACAGACAGAGAAAGCUGAACGACCUGUAG